GAUGAACGCUAGCUACAGGCUUAACACAUGCAAGUCGAGGGGAAACGAUAUUGGAAGCUUGCUUCCGAUAGGCAUCGACCGGCGCACGGGUGAGUAACGCGUAUCCAACCUGCCCACCACUUGGGGAUAACCUUGCGAAAGUAAGACUAAUACCCAAUGAUAUCUCUAGAAGACAUCUGAAGGAGAUUAAAGAUUUAUCGGUGAUGGAUGGGGAUGCGUCUGAUUAGCUUGUUGGCGGGGUAACGGCCCACCAAGGCGACGAUCAGUAGGGGUUCUGAGAGGAAGGUCCCCCACAUUGGAACUGAGACACGGUCCAAACUCCUACGGGAGGCAGCAGUGAGGAAUAUUGGUCAAUGGGCGAGAGCCUGAACCAGCCAAGUAGCGUGCAGGAUGACGGCCCUAUGGGUUGUAAACUGCUUUUAUAAGGGAAUAAAGUGAGUCUCGUGAGACUUUUUGCGUGUACCUUAUGAAUAAGGACCGGCUAAUUCCGUACCAGCCGCCGCGGUAA
RNAcentral lists this ribosomal RNA (508 nucleotides) under uncultured bacterium. Its description in RNAcentral is "partial 16S ribosomal RNA". It matches the Rfam family "Bacterial small subunit ribosomal RNA", at positions 28 to 523 of the family's 1533-position model. The record is from RNAcentral.